GCGGCGUGCUUAACACAUGCAAGUCGAACGGAGUUUAUAAGACAGAUUCCUUCGGGAUGAAGACUUAUAAACUUAGUGGCGGACGGGUGAGUAACGCGUGGGUAACCUGCCUUACACAGGGGGAUAGCAGUUGGAAACGACUGGUAAUACCGCAUACCUUGCAUUAGUCGCAUGACCUAUGUAAGAAAGAUUUAUCGGUGUAAGAUGGACCCGCGUCUGAUUAGCUAGUUGGUACGGUAACGGCGUACCAAGGCGACGAUCAGUAGCCGGCCUGAGAGGGUGAACGGCCACAUUGGGACUGAGAUACGGCCCAGACUCCUACGGGAGGCAGCAGUGGGGAAUAUUGCACAAUGGAGGCAACUCUGAUGCAGCGACGCCGCGUGAGCGAAGAAGUAUUUCGGUAUGUAAAGCUCUAUCAGUAGGGAAGAUAAUGACGGUACCUACAGAAGAAGCCCCGGCUAAAUACGUGCCAGCAGCCGCGGUAAUACGUAUGGGGCAAGCGUUAUCCGGAUUUACUGGGUGUAAAGGGAGUGUAGGCGGCAGUACAAGUCAGGAGUGAAAACUUGGGGCUCAACCCCCAGACUGCUUUUGAAACUGUACAGCUAGAGUGUAGGAAGGGCAAGGCGGAAUUUCUGGGGUAGCGGGAAAAUGCGUAGAUAUCAGGAAGAAACACCGGUGGGGGAAAGCGGCUUGCUGGACUAUAACUGACGCUGUAGACUCGAAAGCGUGGGGAGCGAACAGGAUUUGAUACCCUGGUAGUCCACGCUGUAAACGAUGAAUACUAGGUGUUGGGUCUCGAUAGAGAUUCGGUGCCGAAGCAAACGCAUUAAGUAUUCCACCUGGGGAGUACGUUCGCAAGAAUGAAACUCAAAGGAAUUGACGGGGACCCGCACAAGCGGUGGAGCAUGUGGUUUAAUUCGAAGCAACGCGAAGAACCUUACCAGGUCUUGACAUCCUGCUGCCCGGUCAGUAAUGUGACCUUUUCUUCGGAACAGCAGAGACAGGUGGUGCAUGGUUGUCGUCAGCUCGUGUCGUGAGAUGUUGGGUUAAGUCCCGCAACGAGCGCAACCCUCAUCUAUAGUAGCCAGCAUUUCGGAUGGGCACUCUAUAGAGACCGCCGGGGAUAACCCGGAGGAGGAUGGGGAUGACGUCAAAUCAUCAUGCCCCUUAUGGCCUGGGCUACACACGUGCUACAAUGGCACUAAACAAAGUGAGGCGAGACAGUGAUGUUAAGCAAAGCACAAAAACAGUGUCCCAGUUCGGAUUGUAGUCUGCAACUCGACUACAUGAAGCCGGAAUCGCUAGUAAUCAAAGAUCAGCAUGCUGCGGUGAAUACGUUCCCG
Molecule: ribosomal RNA, 1343 nt
Filed under: uncultured bacterium
Lineage: Bacteria
Description: bacterial SSU rRNA
Rfam family: Bacterial small subunit ribosomal RNA
Source: RNAcentral